AAGAUUUACAAAUAAGUCAACAUGACCAAAAUGGUCAGUUGACCCCUUUAGGAGUUAUUGCCCUUUAUAGUCAUUUUUUACCACUUUUUCAUAGUAUUUUGUAAUCUUUUACAAAAAUCGUCUCCUCUGAAAUUACUGGACCAAGUUCAACCAAACUUGGCCACAAUUAUCAUUGGAGUAUCUAGUUUAAAAAAUGUGUGGGGUGACCGGGCCAACCAACCAAGAUGGUGGCUAUGACUAAAAAUAGAACAUAGGGGUAAAAUGUAGAUUUUGGCUUAUAAUUCUGAAACCAAAGCAUUUAGAGCAAAUCUGACUGGGUUAAAUUGUUAAUCAAGUCAAGAUCUAUCUGCCCUGAAAUUUUCAGACGAAUCAGACAACUGGUUGUUGGAUUGCUGCCCCUCAAUUGGUAAUUUUUAAAGAAAUUUUACCGUUUUUGGUUAUUAUCUUGAAUAUUUUUAUAGAUAGAGAUAAACUGUAAACAUCAAUAAAGUUCAGCAGAGUCAGAUCUACAAAUAGGUCAACAUGACCAAAAUUGUCAGUUGACUCCUUAAGGAGUUAUUGCCCUUUAUAGUCAAUUUACAAAAUAUUUUCCUCUGUUACUAAUGGGCCAAGUUCAUUGUAGAUAGAGAUAAUUGUAAGUAGCAAGAACGUUCAGUAAAGUAAGAACUUCAAACACAUCACCAUCUGACACCAAAAGACAAUUUUGUCAUGAAUCCAUCUAUGUCCUUUGUUUAAUAUGGACAAACACCAAGGUGAGCGACACAGGCUCUUUA
Molecule: long non-coding RNA, 773 nt
Filed under: Mytilus galloprovincialis (Mediterranean mussel)
Lineage: Eukaryota; Metazoa; Mollusca; Bivalvia; Mytilida; Mytilidae
Source: RNAcentral